UGGCGGUGUGGCUUACUUUGG
Molecule: unclassified non-coding RNA, 21 nt
Filed under: Chlamydomonas reinhardtii
Lineage: Eukaryota; Viridiplantae; Chlorophyta; Chlorophyceae; Chlamydomonadales; Chlamydomonadaceae
Description: small RNA Cre_3327
Source: RNAcentral